UACGUAGGUGGCAAGCGUUGUCCGGAUUUACUGGGCGUAAAGGGCGCGUAGGCGGUCAGCACAAGUCAGUUGUGAAAUCUCCGAGCUUAACUCGGAAAGGUCAACUGAUACUGUGCGACUAGAGUGCGGAAGGGGCAACUGGAAUUCUUGGUGUAGCGGUGAAAUGCGUAGAUAUCAAGAGGAACACCUGCGGCGAAAGCGGGCCGCUGGCCCUCUUCUGACGCUGAUGCGCGAAAGCCAGGGGAGCGAACGGG
This 254-nucleotide ribosomal RNA is filed under the name uncultured bacterium. RNAcentral describes it as "partial 16S ribosomal RNA". It matches the Rfam family "Bacterial small subunit ribosomal RNA", at positions 524 to 776 of the family's 1533-position model. The record is from RNAcentral.